Molecule: transfer RNA, 75 nt
Filed under: Candidatus Pacearchaeota archaeon CG10_big_fil_rev_8_21_14_0_10_35_13
Lineage: Archaea; Nanobdellati
Description: tRNA-Lys
Rfam family: tRNA
About the family: Transfer RNA (tRNA) molecules are approximately 80 nucleotides in length. Their secondary structure includes four short double-helical elements and three loops (D, anti-codon, and T loops). Further hydrogen bonds mediate the characteristic L-shaped molecular structure. tRNAs have two regions of fundamental functional importance: the anti-codon, which is responsible for specific mRNA codon recognition, and the 3' end, to which the tRNAs corresponding amino acid is attached (by aminoacyl-tRNA synthetases). tRNAs cope with the degeneracy of the genetic code in two manners: having more than one tRNA (with a specific anti-codon) for a particular amino acid; and 'wobble' base-pairing, i.e. permitting non-standard base-pairing at the 3rd anti-codon position.
Source: RNAcentral
GGCUUCGUAGCUCAGCCCGGUUAGAGCGCUGGACUCUUAAUCCAGAUGUCGGGGGUUCAAAUCCCCUCGAGGCCA